AUCCCAUGGUGUGGACAUUGCCUUAACAAUUCCUUAAAUCUUUUCCAAGCAUCAAACAAAGAUCCAUCCUCUCUUUUCCUAAAUGAAGUGAUUUCGUUUCUCAUUUU
Small nucleolar RNA from Vicia villosa (hairy vetch), 107 nucleotides. Lineage: Eukaryota; Viridiplantae; Streptophyta; Magnoliopsida; Fabales; Fabaceae. The record is from RefSeq and is a predicted model, not a curated record.